This 506-nucleotide ribosomal RNA is filed under the name uncultured bacterium. RNAcentral's name for it is "partial 16S ribosomal RNA". It matches the Rfam family "Bacterial small subunit ribosomal RNA", at positions 28 to 523 of the family's 1533-position model. The record is from RNAcentral.
GAUGAACGCUAGCGGCAGGCCUAACACAUGCAAGUCGAGGGGUAACUAGAGUGAUAGCAAUAUUACUUUGGCUAGACCGGCGCACGGGUGCGUAACACGUAUGCAACCUACCUUAUACUGGGGAAUAACUUCGAGAAAUCGGCGCUAAUACCCCAUAACAUUGCGAAGAGGCAUCUCUUUGCAAUUAAAGCUCCGGCGGUAUAAGAUGGUCAUGCGUCCAAGUAGCUAGUUGGUGAGGUAACGGCUCACGAGGGCUACGAUUGAUAGGGGUUCUGAUAGGAUGAUCCCCCACACAGGUACUGAGACAAGGACCAGACUCCUACGGGAGGCAGCAGUGAGGAAUAUUGCGCAAUGGACGAAAGUCUGACGCAGCCAUGCCGCGUGCAGGAUGACGGCCCUAUGGGUUGUAAACUGCUUUUGUACGGGAAUAAACCCUUCUACGUGUAGGAGGCUGAAGGUACCGUAAGAAUAAGCACCGGCUAACUCCGUGCCAGCCGCCGCGGUAA